RNAcentral lists this long non-coding RNA (1047 nucleotides) under Anolis carolinensis (green anole). RNAcentral's name for it is "lncRNA (ENSACAG00000034719.1)". The record is from RNAcentral. Lineage: Eukaryota; Metazoa; Chordata; Lepidosauria; Squamata; Anolidae.
AUGAGUGCAAUAAAGAACAAAAUGGAAAAAGAGAGGGAUAAGGAAAAGGAAAAAAGAGGGAUCGGGAGGAAGGACUCACUUACUGAUGAGUAUACCCUAAAAGAUGUAAUGUUUGAGAUUUUAAAAUUGCAAACAGAGGUAAUUAAAAUGCAAGAAAAACAAGAUAUACAAUUUAACAGAGUCAAAGAGGAGAUGACGAACAUGAGGAAAGAGAUGAAAGAAGAAAUACAAACAUUAGUAAAAGAGGAAAUUGGCAAAUUGAGGGAGGAAUUGGAAAUAACGAAACAAGAGGGAGUGAUGAGAGCUGAAGAGAAUAGAGUGAUCCAUAACAACCAAAUAGAAAUGAGUAAGGAAAUGAAAAUAAUUGAGAAAGAGUUAAAAGCAAUUAAAAACCAACAGGAAAUUAUAGAAAUAAAAGAGAAGGAAACGCAGUUAAGAUUGCGCAAUGUGCAGGAAACAGAAAUUGAAGAUAUCAGAGAAAUAUGUACUGAAAUAAUAGCUGAGAUAACUAAAAAAACGAAGGAAGAGGCAGAUUGUGAAAUAGAGAGAGCAUACAGGGUAUACUCUAUUCACUCAAAAAAAUUCAACACCCCAAGGGAUAUUGUGGUCCAUCUCAAUAAGAAGAGAGUAAGGGACGAAAUACUAUUAAAUAACUCAAAGAUGCCAACCAUGUAUAAAGGGGAAAGAAUAGCGAUUUUAAAAGAAUUUCCAAUUUCAGUAUUAGAGAGAAGACGCAAAUAUUAUUUCCUAACCGACGAUUUAAGAAAAAGGAACAUCAAAUUUAGAUGGGAAAAAACAGAGGGUCUGAUGCUAACGUGGGAGGGGAAUAGAAAAUGGAUAACAAAUGAACAAAGUGCUAAGGCAUUCUUUGACAAAUAUCUGAAAAAAGAAAAAAAGGAAGAAAGGAAAGAGGACUAUAAAGAUCAAGGAAAGAGUGAGGAAGAUCAGAGAGGUGACGGGUCUUUAGAUGAUAAGGAUGAGAUGGGGAGAUUGAAAAAAAGACUCAGAGAAAAAUCACCAGAGGACUUGAUCAACCUAAUAACUUAA